This 253-nucleotide ribosomal RNA is filed under the name uncultured bacterium. RNAcentral's name for it is "partial 16S ribosomal RNA". It matches the Rfam family "Bacterial small subunit ribosomal RNA", at positions 524 to 776 of the family's 1533-position model. The record is from RNAcentral.
UACGUAGGGGGCAAGCGUUGUCCGGAUUUAUUGGGCGUAAAGAGCGUGUAGGCGGCCAUACAGGUCAGCUGUGAAAACUCGAGGCUCAACCUCGAGACGUCGGUUGAAACCGUAUGGCUAGAGUCCGGAAGAGGAGAGUGGAAUUCCCGGUGUAGCGGUGAAAUGCGCAGAUAUCGGGAAGAACACCCGUGGCGAAGGCGGCUCUCUGGGACGGUACUGACGCUGAGAAGCGAAAGCAUGGGGAGCGAACAGG